Molecule: ribosomal RNA, 460 nt
Filed under: uncultured bacterium
Lineage: Bacteria
Description: partial 16S ribosomal RNA
Rfam family: Bacterial small subunit ribosomal RNA
Source: RNAcentral
CCUACGGGAGGCUGCAGUGAGGAAUAUUGGUCAAUGGGCGGAAGCCUGAACCAGCCAAGUAGCGUGCAGGAUGACGGCCCUACGGGUUGUAAACUGCUUUUAUCCGGGAAUCACGCGCCUUACGUGUAGGGCUUUGCAUGUACCGUAUGAAUAAGGACCGGCUAAUUCCGUGCCAGCAGCCGCGGUAAUACGGAAGGUCCGGGCGUUAUCCGGAUUUAUUGGGUUUAACGGGAGCGUAGGCCGCAUGUCAAGCGUGCUGUGAAAUGUCCGGGCUCAACCCGGGGCUUGCAGCGCGAACUGGCGGGCUUGAGUCCGCGGAAAGCAGGCGGAAGUCGUCGUGUAGCGGUGAAAUGCUUAGAUAUGACGAAGAACCCCGAUUGCGAAGGCAGCUUGCUGCAGCGGAACUGACGCUGAUGCUCGAAAGCGCGGGUAUCGAACAGGAUUAGAUACCCCAAUAGUC